RNAcentral lists this unclassified non-coding RNA (735 nucleotides) under Hevea brasiliensis (rubber tree). The record is from RNAcentral. Lineage: Eukaryota; Viridiplantae; Streptophyta; Magnoliopsida; Malpighiales; Euphorbiaceae.
GCUGCUUCAUUAUGUUGUCCAUCAAUGUACUGUUUAAAGGCUGGAUAUUCAUUCAUACCCAUAGAACCACUUGGAAGUUGAUUGUUUAUGGAACUAGAAUGAGGUGACUCCAUAUCAAAAGAUCCACCUCUAGCAUGAUUAGUCACCAUGGAAUUUAAUUGUGCAAUUUUUGCAUGUGAAGUUCUGAUCUUCAUCUCCAGUUGAUCGUGCAAGUGCUUCACAUUGUUGGUCAGAUUAGAGGCACUGGCCACACGAGGAAAGACACCAUAUUCAGCCAAUAAUCCAAUCAUGGAUGACAUAAAAAUAUAUUUGUCAUCCUCCGUAUCCUUUAACUCAUUCACCAAUCUUAAGUUUUCUUCAAGAUCACCUUUCCUCCGAGUCAGUUCAUUUGAGGCGGAUAUUAUUGCUUCGUUCUGCUUCUCAUCUAGUGCCAUGCGUAGUUCAGAAAAUUUCUUCUCAAGUCCAUAUUUCUCAUUCAAGAGCUGUGAUUCCCGAAUACUGGCAAGAGCAAUCUGUUCCCGAAGAUAUAGGAUUUCUUCUUGUUGUGCUUUCGCACGUGAAUACAGUUCCAUAACUUCAGGAUCCUGAGAGUCAUUGAUGGUGUCAUUUCCCUUCAAAAUCUUCGGUAAAGAACUCAUCCCAAAAUUUUGCCUGUUUGCCAAAUCAGAGCUUUGCCCUUGAACUCUUACAUCUUUUUGCCCAUUAAUAGAGUGAUACAGAGCCUUUUGGUCUUAU